UCCCCCCUCAAGCCCCGUGCUUGGUGUUGGACGGCUCGGUCGAGUGACAUCGACCCGUCCUAAAGACAAUGACGGCGGCCUGUGGUUCCCCCGGUACACUGAGCUUAUAACUGAGCACGUAUCGGACAAGGGCGCCCAGGACACGGUCCUCUCCUUUAGUCAGGAAACUUCGCAAGG
RNAcentral lists this unclassified non-coding RNA (177 nucleotides) under uncultured Cladophialophora. RNAcentral's name for it is "sequence contains ITS2". Lineage: Eukaryota; Fungi; Ascomycota; Eurotiomycetes; Chaetothyriales; Herpotrichiellaceae. The record is from RNAcentral.